RNAcentral lists this ribosomal RNA (543 nucleotides) under uncultured SAR156 cluster gamma proteobacterium. Its description in RNAcentral is "bacterial SSU rRNA". It matches the Rfam family "Bacterial small subunit ribosomal RNA", at positions 1 to 527 of the family's 1533-position model. The record is from RNAcentral. Lineage: Bacteria; Pseudomonadati; Pseudomonadota; Gammaproteobacteria.
UUGGGUUUGAUUAUGGCUCAGAUUGAACGCUGGCGGUAAGCCUUAAACAUGCAAGUCGUGCGGUAACAGACAUAAAGAUUUAGCUUGCUAAAUCCGGUGCUGACGAGCGGCGAACGGGUGAGUAACACGUAGGAAUCUACCCAGUAGCGGGGGAUAGCCCAGGGAAACUUGGAUUAAUACCGCAUAAGCCCUAUGGGGGAAAGAAGGCCUCUCUUUGAAGCUUUCACUAUUGGAUGAGCCUGCGUAAGAUUAGCUUGUUGGUGGGGUAAAAGCCUACCAAGGCAACGAUCUUUAGCUGGUCUGAGAGGACGAUCAGCCACAUUGGGACUGAGACACGGCCCAGACUUCUACGGAAGGCAGCAGUUAGGAAUAUUGGACAAUGGGGGCAACCCUGAUCCAGCUAUACCGCGUGUGUGAAGAAGGCCCUAGGGUUGUAAAGCACUUUAAGCAGGGAAGAAGUAUAGUAAGUUAAUAUCUUACUAUAUUGACGUUACCUGAAGAAUAAGGACCGGCUAACUCCGUGCCAGCCGCCGCGGUAAUACA